RNAcentral lists this ribosomal RNA (394 nucleotides) under uncultured bacterium. Its description in RNAcentral is "partial 16S ribosomal RNA". It matches the Rfam family "Bacterial small subunit ribosomal RNA", at positions 338 to 729 of the family's 1533-position model. The record is from RNAcentral.
CCUACGGGUGGCAGCAGUGAGGAAUAUUGGUCAAUGGGCGUGAGCCUGAACCAGCCAAGUCGCGUGAGGGAUGAAGGUUCUAUGGAUCGUAAACCUCUUUUAUAAGGGAAUAAAGUGUGGGACGUGUCCCGUUUUGUAUGUACCUUAUGAAUAAGGAUCGGCUAACUCCGUGCCAGCAGCCGCGGUAAUACGGAGGAUCCGAGCGUUAUCCGGAUUUAUUGGGUUUAAAGGGUGCGUAGGCGGCCUGUUAAGUCAGUGGUGAAAGUCUGCGGCUCAACCGUAGAAUUGCAGUUGAAACUGGGAGGCUUGAGUAUGUUAGAGGUGGGCGGAAUGCGUGGUGUAGCGGUGAAAUGCUUAGAUAUCACGCAGAACCCCGAUUGCGAAGGCAGCCUGC